RNAcentral lists this long non-coding RNA (453 nucleotides) under Actinidia chinensis (golden kiwifruit). Its description in RNAcentral is "long non-coding RNA (ACHI_LNC000704)". The record is from RNAcentral. Lineage: Eukaryota; Viridiplantae; Streptophyta; Magnoliopsida; Ericales; Actinidiaceae.
UAAGUUUAACAGGUGAAAUAUUCUCAUUUAUUUCUCCAGAAAACAUGCUCCAAAGGAGAGAAAAAAUAUUAACUCAACAACCAAACAAUACAAGGAAUAAAAAUGCAGCAUUCAGAUUACAUAACAUAAAGAAACCUCCAAUCUUCACAAAGACUACAAUAACCAAUCUCUUAUCAUAACAUCGAAGCAUAAUUUUUUACAUCACACAUAACAUUUACUUAACAUAAUGAAAGGUGAUUCAAAGACUUGAUAGUUGAUACAAUUCUUAGAAAUCAAAGCAUGGACAUAACAAAAGAAUAAGACAACAACUACAACAAGCAUCAAGCAGAACUCCCUCCGGACACAACCAACUGAAACUGGUCGAAACCUAUAUUAUUGACUACGCAUAGAUGACUCUUACACCUUCAAUCAACUCAAGUAGUAUCUGCCAAGAAAGGAAAAGGAGAGAGAGAG